AACGAACGCUGGCGGCAUGCCUAACACAUGCAAGUCGAACGAGACCUUCGGGUCUAGUGGCGCACGGGUGCGUAACGCGUGGGAACCUGCCUUUAGGUUCGGAAUAACUCAGAGAAAUUUGAGCUAAUACCGGAUAAAUGUCUUCGGACCAAAGAUUUAUCGCCUUUAGAUGGGCCCGCGUUGGAUUAGCUAGUUGGUGGGGUAAAGGCCUACCAAGGCGACGAUCCAUAGCUGGUCUGAGAGGAUGAUCAGCCACACUGGGACUGAGACACGGCCCAGACUCCUACGGGAGGCAGCAGUGGGGAAUAUUGGACAAUGGGCGAAAGCCUGAUCCAGCCAUGCCGCGUGUGUGAAGAAGUNUUCGGAUUG
Molecule: ribosomal RNA, 369 nt
Filed under: uncultured bacterium
Lineage: Bacteria
Description: bacterial SSU rRNA
Rfam family: Bacterial small subunit ribosomal RNA
Source: RNAcentral